UAAGUUGUGAGUGUGUGUCAGUGUGUGUGUGCAUGCGUAUAUAUAUAUAUAUAUAUAUAUAUAUAUAUAUACAUAUAUAUAUAUAUUUACACACACAUUUACACACACACACACACAC
RNAcentral lists this microRNA precursor (118 nucleotides) under Pelobates cultripes (western spadefoot toad). The record is from RNAcentral. Lineage: Eukaryota; Metazoa; Chordata; Amphibia; Anura; Pelobatidae.